This 628-nucleotide long non-coding RNA is filed under the name Setaria viridis. Its description in RNAcentral is "long non-coding RNA (SVIR_LNC005216)". Lineage: Eukaryota; Viridiplantae; Streptophyta; Magnoliopsida; Poales; Poaceae. The record is from RNAcentral.
AAAAAACGCCCGACUCUAUCAAGAAACGUGGUGGACGGACUGCAGGACGGCCUCGGCGACCAUCCCCAGAUGGUGCAGCGCGGCGGCGGCGGAGACAGGCACGCUGCCGAGCACGAGCGCGGCGACGGCGAUGGCGACGCUGGGCCUGGUGCCCAUGAGGGCCAGUUGCAGCGCGCCGACGAUGCCGGACACGUCGGCGACGUAGGCCGGGUAGUACCGCUUCUCCCAGGCCGCCCACCCCGCGGGCGCCUCGUAGUUGGACUCCGCCAUCCGCGCCUCCCGGAUCCGCCGCCGCAGCACGGACAUGCCCUCGUCCACCAGCGCGCCGCCGUACUGGCCCCGCCCGCCGCUCGCGCUCCGCCGGAACGCCGCGCAGCGCGUCGUCGGCGCGGCCGGUGAUCUCCGCCUCGCCGGCAGCGCUGGGCCGUGGCACGCCCCGUGCCGGAGCCCCGCCGGCGUCGUCGGAAGCGAGAUGGGUGAAGCAGCCAUGGUGAAUCAGCUCAAGAACUGAUCUUUUGUAACUCAGGCAAGAAAGAAAGCACUUCACAAAUCACACUACAGAAAUGGACCAAGGGAAGAAGAGCCAAUCAAAGCUGAUGGGUCGAGAGAAGAAUCACACGAAGAUGAU